RNAcentral lists this unclassified non-coding RNA (495 nucleotides) under Hellmuthia membranacea. RNAcentral's name for it is "partial external transcribed spacer 1f". The record is from RNAcentral. Lineage: Eukaryota; Viridiplantae; Streptophyta; Magnoliopsida; Poales; Cyperaceae.
UUGUUGACUAGCUUUGCAUGGCAGGCUCCCUGCACUUUGGUGCGGCCAACUGUCAUGGGGCGGUCUCUUCGUUGUCCCUUUGCCUAGUAAUGUAGUGGUUAUGGAUGAUUGCUGUCGGUUGCCUGUGUGGUUCUACCCUUGUGGGUAGCACAAUUGUCCCGUCGUUGCUUAUUUAGCUUGCUCUGUUAAUGAUAUUCAGUUGACAGGGCGGCCGAGGGGUCAGCAAAUUCCAUGUGUUGCCAUGUGCAUUAGCCUUGGUACCGCACUUGGAUGUUUGCUGGGUCUCAUGGAUGUGGUGCCUAUUGUGAGCUCUACAGGCCUUGUGCCUGAAGAACCUGUGAGGUUGCCCCUGCAUGGAUCAUUGCUAUGUGGCUUCACCAACAUUUCGUGGUCUAAGCGUCAUGUUGGUUUGUUGCUAUCAGGGUGUUGUUCUUUGCCUGCGGCAUGCCUCUUAGACCCAAUGACUUGCGAUUGCUGGUUUGCGUUGUUACAAGG